UCUCCGUUGGUGAACCAGCGGAGGGAUCAUUACAGAGUUUUCUAACUCCCAAACCCUUUGUGAACUUACCUUAUUGUUGCCUCGGCGCAAGCUACCCGGGACCUCGCGCCCCGGGCGGCCCGCCGGCGGACAAACCAAACUCUGUUAUCUUCGUUGAUUAUCUGAGUGUCUUAUUUAAUAAGUCAAAACUUUCAACAACGGAUCUCUUGGUUCUGGCAUCGAUGAAGAACGCAGC
This 235-nucleotide unclassified non-coding RNA is filed under the name uncultured fungus. RNAcentral's name for it is "sequence contains ITS1, 5.8S rRNA gene". The stretch from base 187 to 235 matches the Rfam family "5.8S ribosomal RNA", at positions 1 to 49 of the family's 154-position model. Lineage: Eukaryota; Fungi. The record is from RNAcentral.